RNAcentral lists this ribosomal RNA (101 nucleotides) under uncultured bacterium. RNAcentral describes it as "partial 16S ribosomal RNA". It matches the Rfam family "Bacterial small subunit ribosomal RNA", at positions 1384 to 1482 of the family's 1533-position model. The record is from RNAcentral.
UACACACCGCCCGUCACACCACGAAAGCUUGUUGUACCAGAAGUCGCUGGUCCAACCCGCAAGGGAGGAAGGCGCCGAAGGUAUGAUAGGUGAUUGGGGUG